UACAGAGGUCUCAAGCGUUGUUCGGAUUCAUUGGGCGUAAAGGGCGCGUAGGUGGUAAGGCAAGUCGGGUGUGAAAGCUUGGGGCUUAACCCCGAAAGGGCACUCGAAACUGCGUUGCUAGAGGGCCGGAGAGGAGAUCGGAAUUCACGGUGUAGCAGUGAAAUGCGUAGAGCUCGUGAGGAAGACCGGUGGCGAAGGCGGAUCUCUGGACGGCCCCUGACGCUGAGGCGCGAAGGCUAGGGGAGCAAACGGG
RNAcentral lists this ribosomal RNA (253 nucleotides) under uncultured bacterium. RNAcentral's name for it is "partial 16S ribosomal RNA". It matches the Rfam family "Bacterial small subunit ribosomal RNA", at positions 524 to 776 of the family's 1533-position model. The record is from RNAcentral.